AAGACUGUUAUGGUGGAAGGAAGAUGGAAAACUUUCUGUGAUGAUAGUGAAGCUAAAGCUGGAUGAGGAUUACCUCAAAAGUAUAUAUGGGCACACUGCUGCCUCCUCUGAGGAAAAAAAAUGUUUAUUGGAGCACCUAAGGUGUCAGCUUCUUCAUGUAUUGGCGACCCCAAGACAAGGUACAAGGUUUCAGCCUGAUGGCAACGACUAAAAAAUCCAUGCCGACCUAUGGACCCUGCCAAAAAAAAUGUUCCAUGUGAACUUGAGUUUGCAAGGCCCUUGUUUUCAGUCCCAAAUACUCCGCGUUCUGAGAAAGGACAUCUGUGAUAAGAUGGAAAUUGGCACUGGUAACUCAUGUACUAUGGGUGAAGCAUGCUCAAAAGAGGCAGACCCAGAGGUAAUUUUUCAUCAAAGAACUUUUUAAAGCCAUUAUUAAAACUAGCAUAAAUUUCCUCCGUUGCUGGCAGCUUCAACAGGCAGGACAGGAUUGAUUUGGAUAUGGCAGCUCAAUUUAAUUUUUUUUUUUUUUCUAUUUAUAUGUA
Long non-coding RNA from Gymnogyps californianus (California condor), 542 nucleotides. RefSeq lists it as uncharacterized. The record is from RefSeq and is a predicted model, not a curated record. Lineage: Eukaryota; Metazoa; Chordata; Aves; Accipitriformes; Cathartidae. The transcript is spliced from 3 exons.